UUGACGGGACCGCACAAGCGGUGGAUGAUGUGAUUAAUUCGAUGCAACGCGAAGAACCUUACCUACCUUGACACGUCCGGAACUUGCCAGAGAUGGCUUGGUGCCCGAAAGGGAAUCGGAACACAGGUGCUGCAUGGCUGUCGUCAGCUCGUGUCGUGAGAUGUUGGGUUAAGUCCCGCAACGAGCGCAACCCUUAUCAUUAGUUGCUACGCAAGGGCACUCUAAUGAGACUGCCGGUGACAAACCGGAGGAAGGUGGGGAUGACGUCAAGUCCUCAUGGCCCUUAUGGGUAGGGUUUCACACGUCAUACAAUGGUCGGUACAGAGGGUUGCCAAGCCGCGAGGCGGAGCCAAUCCCACAAAGCCGAUCGUAGUCCGGAUUGUUCUCUGCAACUCGAGAGCAUGAAGUCGGAAUCGCUAGUAAUCGCAGGUCAGCAUACUGCGGUGAAUACGUUCCCGGGUCUU
RNAcentral lists this ribosomal RNA (464 nucleotides) under uncultured Thiobacillus sp. RNAcentral's name for it is "bacterial SSU rRNA". It matches the Rfam family "Bacterial small subunit ribosomal RNA", at positions 910 to 1382 of the family's 1533-position model. The record is from RNAcentral. Lineage: Bacteria; Pseudomonadati; Pseudomonadota; Betaproteobacteria; Nitrosomonadales; Thiobacillaceae.